This 324-nucleotide ribosomal RNA is filed under the name uncultured eukaryote. RNAcentral describes it as "partial 18S ribosomal RNA". It matches the Rfam family "Eukaryotic small subunit ribosomal RNA", at positions 1470 to 1796 of the family's 1831-position model. The record is from RNAcentral.
CCCUUAGAUGUUCUGGGCCGCACGCGCGCUACACUGAUGCAUUCAACGAGUUUCUUCCUGGUCCGAGAGGAAUGGGUAACCUUUUGAAAGUGCAUCGUGAUAGGGAUAGACUAUGGCAAUUAUUGGUCUUCAACGAGGAAUUCCUAGUAGACGUAGUUCAUCAGACUGCAUCGAUUACGUCCCUGCCCUUUGUACACACCGCCCGUCGCUCCUACCGAUUGAAUGCUCAGGUGAGCCAUUCGGACUUUCAUCAUGCUGGUUUCCAGUUUUGAUGAAGGAAAGUCUUGCGAACCUUAUCAUUUAGAGGAAGGAGAAGUCGUAACA